RNAcentral lists this ribosomal RNA (253 nucleotides) under uncultured bacterium. RNAcentral describes it as "partial 16S ribosomal RNA". It matches the Rfam family "Bacterial small subunit ribosomal RNA", at positions 524 to 776 of the family's 1533-position model. The record is from RNAcentral.
UACGUAGGGUCCGAGCGUUAAUCGGAAUUACUGGGCGUAAAGCGUGCGCAGGCGGUUUUGUAAGUCAGAUGUGAAAGCCCCGGGCUCAACCUGGGAACUGCAUUUGGGACUGCAAGGCUGGAGUACGGCAGAGGGAGGUGGAAUUCCACGUGUAGCAGUGAAAUGCGUAGAGAUGUGGAGGAACACCGAUGGCGAAGGCAGCCUCCUGGGCUAGUACUGACGCUCAUGCACGAAAGCGUGGGGAGCAAACAGG